CUACGGGGUGCUGCAGUGGGGAAUAUUGCACAAUGGGCGCAAGCCUGAUGCAGCCAUGCCGCGUGUAUGAAGAAGGCCUUCGGGUUGUAAAGUACUUUCAGCGGGGAGGAAGGGAGUAAAGUUAAUACCUUUGCUCAUUGACGUUACCCGCAGAAGAAGCACCGGCUAACUCCGUGCCAGCGGCCGCGGUAAUACGGAGGGUGCAAGCGUUAAUCGGAAUUACUGGGCGUAAAGCGCACGCAGGCGGUUUGUUAAGUCAGAUGUGAAAGCCCCGGGCUCAACCUGGGAACUGCAUCUGAUACUGGCAAGCUCGAGUCUCGUAGAGGGGGGUAGAAUUCCAGGUGUAGCGGUGAAAUGCGUAGAGAUCUGGAGGAAUACCGGUGGCGAAGGCGGCCCCCUGGACGAAGACUGACGCUCAGGUGCGAAAGCGUGGGGAGCAAACAGGAUUAGAUACCCCCGUAGUC
Molecule: ribosomal RNA, 464 nt
Filed under: uncultured bacterium
Lineage: Bacteria
Description: partial 16S ribosomal RNA
Rfam family: Bacterial small subunit ribosomal RNA
Source: RNAcentral